Molecule: ribosomal RNA, 580 nt
Filed under: uncultured bacterium
Lineage: Bacteria
Description: bacterial SSU rRNA
Rfam family: Bacterial small subunit ribosomal RNA
Source: RNAcentral
ACGGGUGAGGAACACGUAGGAAUCUACCCAGAAGCGGGGGACAACCAAGGGAAACUUUGGCUAAUACCGCAUAAUCUCGCGAGAGAAAAGGCGCCCGCAAGGGUGUCACUUCUGGAAGAGCCUGCGUCCGAUUAGCUAGUUGGUAGGGUAAGAGCCUACCAAGGCAAUGAUCGGUAACUGGUCUGAGAGGACGACCAGUCACACUGGGACUGAGACACGGCCCAGACUCCUACGGGAGGCAGCAGUGGGGAAUAUUGGACAAUGGGGGCAACCCUGAUCCAGCGAUGCCGCGUGGGUGAAGAAGGCCUUCGGGUUGUAAAGCCCUUUAGGUUGGGAAGAAGUUAGUUAGGUUAAUAACCUAAUUGAUUGACGGUACCGACAGAAUAAGCACCGGCAAACUCUGUGCCAGCAGCCGCGGUAAUACAGAGGGUGCAAGCGUUAAUCGGAGUUACUGGGCGUAAAGGGCGCGUAGGCGGUUGUAUGUGUGUGAUGUGAAAGCCCUGGGCUUAACCUAGGAAGUGCAUCGCAAACUAUAUAACUGGAGUAUAUGAGAGGGUGGCGGAAUUUCCGGUGUAGCGGU